Molecule: unclassified non-coding RNA, 346 nt
Filed under: soil metagenome
Description: partial contains 5.8S ribosomal RNA, internal transcribed spacer 2, and large subunit ribosomal RNA
Rfam family: 5.8S ribosomal RNA (bases 1-119)
Source: RNAcentral
GAUGAAGAACGUAGCGAAAUGCGAUACGUAAUGUGAAUUGCAAAUUCAGUGAAUCAUCGAGUCUUUGAACGCACAUUGCGCCCCCUGGUAUUCCGGGGGGCAUGCCUGUCCGAGCGUCAUUGCUGCCCUCAAGCACGGCUUGUGUGUUGGGCCCCGUCCUCCGAUCCCGGGGGACGGGCCCGAAAGGCAGCGGCGGCACCGCGUCCGGUCCUCGAGCGUAUGGGGCUUUGUCACCCGCUCUGUAGGCCCGGCCGGCGCUUGCCGAUCAACCCAAAUUUUUUAUCCAGGUUGACCUCGGAUCAGGUAGGAAUACCCGCUGAACUUAAGCAUAUCAAUAAGCGGAGGA